UAUUGCUAUAUAUGGAAACUUAAAUUUAUUUCAAAGUACCUCUGUUGCAAUAUAUGGAAAAUUAAUUUUACUUCAUAGUAGACGGCUGUGACGAAAAGACAGUUGUUCAUAAAAAAUAACACAAACAAUUAAAACAACUAGAAUACAAAAACUAUGCGAUUACAACCAUCAAAACAAUUUUGAACAUGUACUGCAUCAUCCUACGAGCGUCUUGGUCGGUCUUAAUAUCCACCCAUUCACACACUUCUCCGCUUUGGUUGAACGUGGACACAAGCCAUUGUAUUCUUCUAAUCCGUUCAUC
This 301-nucleotide long non-coding RNA is filed under the name Lathyrus oleraceus (garden pea). RNAcentral describes it as "Pisum sativum (pea) long non-coding RNA (PSAT_LNC012467)". Lineage: Eukaryota; Viridiplantae; Streptophyta; Magnoliopsida; Fabales; Fabaceae. The record is from RNAcentral.